This is a long non-coding RNA of Cucurbita maxima (winter squash), 378 nucleotides long. RefSeq lists it as uncharacterized. Lineage: Eukaryota; Viridiplantae; Streptophyta; Magnoliopsida; Cucurbitales; Cucurbitaceae. The record is from RefSeq and is a predicted model, not a curated record. The transcript has 2 exons.
CUGGUGUGUGAAUCGGCGUUGUCCUCGCAUUUCGCCUUAGGGUUUGCGGUCACCUUCGAAUGGCAAAUUCCCAUGGAUUUGGAACCCUAGGAGCACAAUCGAAAGGGGAUAAUCAAUCACUGAGAUGAAGGAGAUUCUUCCAUUGGAGAGAGACCUCGAAGGUAAUCCCAACAAGAAUCACUACAAGACGAACAUCAUGGGAGCAGAAAUCAAGGCAAAGAACAAGCAAAGAAGGAAACCAGAACACGUUAAUGAGGCCCAGGUGAGACAGAACAUAAUACAAAAUUCUAUAUUUCAUUGCAACUUACAAGUUUAAUACUCAAAUUUCUGAUGAUUGUGUGUCCCUAUGCUUUAUAAAUUACUAUACUUUUGGACCCA